GCGGACGGGUGAGUAACACGUGGAUAACCUACCUAUAAGACUGGGAUAACUUCGGGAAACCGGAGCUAAUACCGGAUAAUAUUUUGAACCGCAUGGUUCAAAAGUGAAAGACGGUCUUGCUGUCACUUAUAGAUGGAUCCGCGCUGCAUUAGCUAGUUGGUAAGGUAACGGCUUACCAAGGCAACGAUGCAUAGCCGACCUGAGAGGGUGAUCGGCCACACUGGAACUGAGACACGGUCCAGACUCCUACGGGAGGCAGCAGUAGGGAAUCUUCCGCAAUGGGCGAAAGCCUGACGGAGCAACGCCGCGUGAGUGAUGAAGGUCUUCGGAUCGUAAAACUCUGUUAUUAGGGAAGAACAUAUGUGUAAGUAACUGUGCACAUCUUGACGGUACCUAAUCAGAAAGCCACGGCUAACUACGUGCCAGCAGCCGCGGUAAUACGUAGGUGGCAAGCGUUAUCCGGAAUUAUUGGGCGUAAAGCGCGCGUAGGCGGUUUUUUAAGUCUGAUGUGAAAGCCCACGGCUCAACCGUGGAGGGUCAUUGGAAACUGGAAAACUUGAGUGCAGAAGAGGAAAGUGGAAUUCCAUGUGUAGCGGUGAAAUGCGCAGAGAUAUGGAGGAACACCAGUGGCGAAGGCGACUUUCUGGUCUGUAACUGACGCUGAUGUGCGAAAGCGUGGGGAUCAAACAGGAUUAGAUACCCUGGUAGUCCACGCCGUAAACGAUGAGUGCUAAGUGUUAGGGGGUUUCCGCCCCUUAGUGCUGCAGCUAACGCAUUAAGCACUCCGCCUGGGGAGUACGACCGCAAGGUUGAAACUCAAAGGAAUUGACGGGGACCCGCACAAGCGGUGGAGCAUGUGGUUUAAUUCGAAGCAACGCGAAGAACCUUACCAAAUCUUGACAUCCUUUGACAACUCUAGAGAUAGAGCUUUCCC
RNAcentral lists this ribosomal RNA (934 nucleotides) under Staphylococcus aureus. RNAcentral describes it as "bacterial SSU rRNA". It matches the Rfam family "Bacterial small subunit ribosomal RNA", at positions 98 to 1018 of the family's 1533-position model. The record is from RNAcentral. Lineage: Bacteria; Bacillati; Bacillota; Bacilli; Caryophanales; Staphylococcaceae.